RNA transcript from Gadus morhua (Atlantic cod), 6273 nucleotides. It is a transcript of the gene named vesicle-associated membrane protein 4, with no coding region annotated. Lineage: Eukaryota; Metazoa; Chordata; Actinopteri; Gadiformes; Gadidae. The record is from RefSeq and is a predicted model, not a curated record. The transcript has 5 exons.
CUACUACUUUCAGAUUCUUCAGUUCAAUUUAUUUUACAUUUCUUCAUUUUCAACAAUGCUUUGCGCUUUUCAUUCAGCCGUCAGCAUUCACACGGGUUUUCGGCAGGAAAUGCAAUUCCUAGUUUUCUUUGUAUUUGUACCAUGUUGGUCAUUUUAAUGUCGAUUUUAAGUGCUCUUACACACUUGAUUACAUGGCUACUUUAUUCCGGUCACCAAUUUAUGCAUUGCACAGUCUCGCUGUUCGUGCAAUACAAUGUCAUGUUGUGUUGUUCAUUUUCGAGCUGGUUUGCUAAAGCGGCUAAUGUAGCUAAUAAUAAACAACGACUAGCCAAUGAAAUGACACAAUCACAAAGACGAACGGGAACGCUAUAAGUGUUACGAGACAGGAAAUGACAAGUGCAACCCGGAAGGCUGGUGUCCGAGGCAUCUGGAUUUCACCAAUAGAUGUAGACCGGGGAUAGAAUAAAGUGCAACAGUGUGGUUCCGAAAGUAAACAUCCCAUUCAUUUUCUCCUUAGGGGUUUUGAUUAAAAGCCAUAAUGUCGUAACAAUUCAAAGUAUACUUAGCAUGCAUUGUUAUAUUGUGAAACUAUGGUAUAUGCUCCCCUAGAAGUUAAGUUAAACAGUUUAACAUCUAGUUUUUAGCAAAUCAUGUUUUAUCCGCGAUGCAUUUGAAACCACUACACUACCCAUAAAAAGUGUAACACACAGCGUCUUUGAUUUGUUGAGUUGUUUUAGGAAAUGAGCUAUACAUGUUGAAAAAUAUGUUGAUAUAGAAUAUAAAACUAAAAGCAAAAUAUGUGAUACAGCACUAGCUGUGCUUUUAUGUAAUUCUGGUAGUAUAAAAGCUAGGAAUAAAUAAUGUUGAAUGAAUAUGUAAUUGGAGUACGAGACUGAAUUCACAUGUAUUAAAAACAAGUAACGUUAUUACGCUGUGAUUGCAGUCAGUAACAAAGGAUUGUACCAUGUCCAACGCUGUAAACUAAAUUAAACCCUAUACAUAAACAUACACACACACAACAUUUAUGACACAACUUGUAUUAAUAAUAUAAACAAAAUAAUAAUGACAAAGGUUAUAAGAUGCAAGAAACACGCUAAACUGUUGUAAACAUUGUGAAAAAGUUUGCAAUGGUUUAUGGGAUGAGUAGUUCCUUCACUCAAAAAAUGAUCUACCUUUUGCCUUUUCUUCCAUUAUCCAAAUUAAUUUAUUACCCCAAAUCAAAUAUUUUAUGAUCACGACUAUCCCGACGGAUGAUUGGCUUGUUUCCAGGCUAAGAACUCUUUUUAUAACGAUUUUACGUAAAUUAAAUGGAGAAUAUGAAUGAGAAAUCUAUUCCAGACCCAGAGCUGUUCAUAAAGGGGGCGGUCACUGUGGCGCUCUAUACACACAAAUAAACACUUUGAGGUGCAUUUGGCCGGUCUUGUGUGUAGUAAUGUCUCUUGCUUUAUGACUGUGCCCCUGUGUAUUUUCCAUUGGAGAUGGUCCAUAGUAGGGUUGCCGCGGUGUACGGUAUUACCGGUGUUGAGGCCAACACCGAUUACUCGGUGUUGCACACCGGCAACACAGUUGUUCUUUUUUUGUAAUAAUUAAAUUCAAUAAUUCAUUCAGUCAAAAUUAAUAAUAUAAUUAUAAUUAAGAAAAUAAAAAUGCGUAAAAUAGGCCACAUUUCUGCUCUGCGCGGUAGAGAAUCGGCGCGCCGAGAAUUCGCGCGCUUCCUGACGCUGUCGCCGAGUGUGAGUUGACGGGAAGAUUAUGGCGGUUGACCUUGUUUUUGAAGUUUAAGGCAAAGGCGCCUAUUUGGAAACAUUUUGGAUUCAAACCAAACGCAAAUCGGGAACCGGAGAACCCAAAUGAGGCAAUAUGCAGACUCUGCAACAAGAAGGUGGCAGCAGCUGGAGGUAACACUUCAAAUUUACACACACACCUAAAACUGCACCACAGGAGCGAUGCUGCGAAAAUGGAGCUUGCAGCAGUGGGGCCUCCACCGGAGAGUUCGGGCACACAGCGGCCGACACAGCCAUCAAUUUGUGGAGCGUUUGCCAAAUGUACAAAGUACAAGAAGGACAGUGUGAGGUGGAGUGCAUGUACCGAUGCAGUCACAAAAUAUAUGUGCAAGGAGAUGGUGUCCUUCAACACGGUGGAAAAAAAGUCCUUCAAGGAGCUUUUGGCGACACUUGACAGCCAGUACGAUGUUCCAGGGCGGACAUAUUUUUCAUCCACAGCUAUCCCGUGCGCUUACAACAGUGUCAGGAGUGAGCUGCAACGUACCCUCACAACAGACUUGUGGUCGAGCGCAACGAUGGCACCAUAUAUGUCACUGACAGUGCAUUUUAUUGACCAGGAUUGGAAGCUGGUGUCAAAAUGCCUCCAGACAAGCUUUUUGCCAGAGGACCACACCGCCGUUAAUUUAGCUGAUGCCCUGCAGGACGCUCUGCGGGAGUGGGAAUUGAGCGCGGAUAAAGUCUCCUGUCUCACCACCAACAGUGGAGCCAACAUAAAAGCAGCUGUUCGGAACCUAGGGUGGCCCUGGUUGAGCUGCUUCGGGCACAACCUAAACCUUGCUGUGUCAAAUACCUUGGAAAAAACUGAGAAAGUGCGAACAGACCUUGCCCUUGCAGUCUGUCGUACAAUCAACGGGAUGUUUUCUCACAGCUGGAGGAGGAGACGGGAGCUGCAGAAAGCCCAGGUCGAGCUUGGCCUCCCACAGCACUCGCUGGUGACGGAUUGUGCAACACGCUGGGGGUCCAAGCAAAAAAUGAUCAAUAGAAUGUUGGAGCAGAAGCAGGCUAUCAACAGAGUGCUUGCAGAGGAUCGGAAAACCAAUGUCAACAUCACAUGGCAAGAUGAAGAUGUGCUGCUGGCAAUGAAUGAAGCGCUGAAGCCAGUGAGCGACUUCACCGACAUUCUCUCCGGGGAGAAUUAUGUGACCGCAUCGUCUCUACUCCCUGUGCUGCAUUUGGUGAAACAGGGAACGUUAGCCCCUAUGGUUGAAGACACCAAAUUAACUGCAGACCUGAAAGCUGGCAUCCUCCAUGUUCUGGAAGAAAAAUAUAAAGCCCUGCCGCAGGCAAGCUUGGAGCUCAUGCGCAAAGCAACAUUCCUUGACCCGCGGUACCGGGGUGAAUAUGACUCGAAUGCUAACGAGUUAAAAAGAAUGAUUGAGGAAGAAGCAGUCAUCCUCGGGCAAGCAGCGCAGCCAGUGAGAGCGGAAAAUGAAGAAGAGGGAGCCGCGGCCGAGCCCCAGCCCAAGAAAAUUACUUUGGCAAGUUUGCUAAAGAGGAAAACAGGCGCACCUACCUCAGCCCCACUAACGCUCCCCGAAAAAGCAGCCCUACAGAUUGCCAGCUACUGUCAAGAGGCUUGCAUCGAUGCUGAGGAAGAUCCUCUUUGCUGGUGGAAAUUGAACCAAACAAGGCAUCCCCUUCUGGCAAAGGUCGCCAGAAAUUACCUCUGCGUGUGUGCUACAAGCUGCGCAUCCGAGCGGGUGUUUAGCACGGCAGGGAACAUUGUCACCCCCACAAUAUCGCUUCUCAAACCAGAGAAGAUGAACAUGUUGGUUUUCCUGGCAAAGAACAUGUAGCCUGGACUGGUCACACUUGUAAAUAGUUCGAGUUUGUUAUUAAGCAGAAUUGUGUUUCUUCUUUUUGUUCCAUAUGCCUUGUGUUUGCUUAUUUAAUUGUAGCCAAUUCGUUUCUUAUUAAUUUUGUUACAUUGUGUUUGAUUAUUUGACCUUGUUUUACUCUGUGUAUUAAAAAUAUAAUAUGUAAAUUGUUGUGGCAAUUGGGCUUGCAGCCCGCGGCACAAGACGAGCAUGCAAGUCGCCGUCAUCUUUAGGCCUAUUUGAUUAAAAAAAAAGUUCUUUGCACUGUUAUACUGUUUUAGUGUUUAUUGUUUGCUCUAAUAGAUAGGAUACCUAAUAAACCUUUGGAACGCACAAGACCGGUAACCAUAGCAACGCCGGUAAACAAACCCCGCAAAGCCCAAUCCCUGCGUGAGCUCCCCGCGCUACGGCCACCCGGAGGCGCGCAGAGCUUUUGGCCGUGAUAUUAUGAUAUAUAAAAUUAUAUUAUACUAUUACUAUUAUAUAUAGAAGAACGUUAUAAGACGCCGAGAAUUGGCGCGCUGCCAGCCGCUGUCACCGAGUGUGAGAGGAGAGUUGACGGAGAAGAUGGCGGUUGACCUAGUUUCAAAGUUAAUACCGUUUAUACCGGUAAUACCGGUGUUGACCCGAGCGUAUUACUCGGUGUGAAAAUGUCCACACCGCGGCAACCCUAGUCCAUAGCUAUGUAUACUUUAUAGGUGUGUGUGAAAUGCCUGUGUUCCUCCAAUUACAUGAAGACUCAUAUGCACACACAAGUCUAGGUUCUGUUUUUCUCACUCUGUCCUUCUCGAAAAUGUGCUUUGUGGAAUAACCUAUGAGGGCACAUUAUGAAAACAGUAGAUGUUAUGUAGCGGCCUCUCGGUCUGUCCUGCCAGCUCCACGAGACAACGAUGCAUAUCUGGAACUCUGGAGCUCACAUCUUGUUGUAAACACUACAGACAACACUAUGUAUUUUUUCUUUUUCAAGAUAUGUUUUCAAAGAUUUUUUUUGCAUUUUUAGUCUUUAUGAUAGAGUCAGACAGACAGGAAGGUAUGGGAGAUAGAGGGGAGGACCUGCAGCAAAGGACCACAGGCAGGAAUCGAACCCGGCUCGCUGUGAUCUGGACUAAGCCUUAAUGGUGUGCGCUCUACCCGAAAGCCUUUCAGACAACGCUUCGGCCUUCAGCAGCCGAGCUAAACAGCUGCACAGGAGGAUGUGGUGGAGAGACAUGAAGAUGAAGAUCAUAAUUUCCCUGGUUGUAUUUGCCGUCCUGCUGAUUAUAAUUGUUCCGGUCAUCCUCCGGUAUCACUAGUGUCUGACGACAAGGAUGAGAACCAUCUCUCAUCCUCCCAACUAUCCCUUCUCAUGUGGUCCUCCACGCCAGCUAGAGGGUACCAGCUGACCUCCUACAACAUCCCAACUCCACCCCAAAUCUUUGUCUGUUCCCCACCCCCCUUUCCCCCAAAGCUUUUGCCUAAACUGUCCCACACCGAUGCCUGCAUUGUUCGCAUUUCUAAAGAAAACAACUCAGUUAUCAGUUGUGUAGGAUAGGUGUUUUCAGUUAUGUAUGGAGGACGAAAAUUUAUUUGAUUGGGGCACAGGCGGGAGUUAGUAGGUCGUCAUCUCAUGCCCUCUGGUCCACGCAAAGAGGAAGCCAUUUUAUCUCAUGCGGAUGCAUGAGAUAAAAAGGCCUUAUCAAGCCUUAUCAAGAAACACACACUCUGGAGCCUGCAAAUCACCUUCACUAAUGUUGUCACUGCACAGAGUCCCCCUGCUCUCCUAGUUUAACCGUAUUGUUCUGCAAAGCCCUCCAUAAAUGAAAACCACAGAGGCACUGCAACUUCAUAACAUUUUAUUCAAUGUUUACACACAAUUCCCUAGUGUUAUAGCUGUUUAAGCCUCCGGUUCAACGCACUGUGGAUGAGAAUGUUAAUAUGGGAAGGACUUGGGAAGGAAAGGAACCAGAGGAAAUUCCUGUCUCAUGUCUACGCUGUUUAUCCGUUCAAUAGUAAAAAUGUGGACUUGAAGUAUAGCUUCCUAGUCCCUGGUUUGAUUGUUAAUCGUCAUAGCUGGUUUCAUGCCAAAAUACAUCCCAUAGUAUGAGCGUUGUCUGUAUUUUUAUUUAUUAUUUAUCUUUAUUUGAGCACCCUAAACCUCUGAACCCUAGACCCACUGCGACCCAGGUCGCAGUGGGUCUAGGGUACGACCCAGGGUCGUACUAAAAACCCCUGUCCUGGGAUCCUGCUGGCUCCUUGAGACGCCGCUCUUGAUCUUUCCACAUGGUUCUGUUUGAGCGGAUGUUAUAUUACUGUUGUAGUUUUGAUUCAUUGUUCGUAGUGUUAUUUUUAAUUUUUUUUGCACUCGGUAUUUCAUUUUUGCUGGCAGAAUAUUGCCACUGCUCAGUAGGAAUGUCUCGUAUCGCCAUUGCGACGAAUGGCAGUGUUUGUAUUGGUGCCCUGCCACAGAGAGCAUUGGACGGAGGUUUAGAAUUGCAGAUUUGAACAUCUUUCUAACGAGCAGCAACCAUACACAGUCAUUCCUUUUAAAAUAUUUGUGUUCUCGUUUACUUCUAAUUUAUUUAAAGUGUAAAUACCUAUUUAAUUUUAACAAUGUACAAUUUUCUGGCACUGCAAUGGAAGACUGUGAUUUAUUGUUCUGUUUUGCUCUGAAAUAAAAAUCAAUAUAAAGGGCA